UCACGAUUUUAGAAUAAAAGCGAACGAUCAAAUUAAUCAGAUUAGUUUGAUAGAUAAUAUCAGAAAUAUGGUGGGAAUUAAGUCAUAUUUUACCACUUU
This is a long non-coding RNA of Sinocyclocheilus grahami, 99 nucleotides long. RefSeq lists it as uncharacterized. The transcript has 3 exons. The record is from RefSeq and is a predicted model, not a curated record. Lineage: Eukaryota; Metazoa; Chordata; Actinopteri; Cypriniformes; Cyprinidae.